AUGCUUUUCAUCCUGGCCAUUGACCCUCUUCAGCAGAUCCUCCAGCUCGCCUCCCGACAUGGCAUCCUCAAGCCCAUUCGUGCAAGGACGGCCAGAUGCAGGAUUUCCCUUUACUCCGACGAUGCGGGCAUUUUUGCGAACCCAGACAAGGAUGAGCUUCGUGCAAUUUCUGCAAUUCUGAAGACCUUUGGGGAGGCAAGCGGACUAAACACAAACUUGAGUAAGACUGAGGUCUUCCCGAUCAGAUGUGUCGGCAUUGACCUCCAGGAUGUGUUGUCAGUCUUCCCGGCCAAGAUCGCCACCUUCCCGAGAUGCUACUUGGGGCUCCCCCUACAUUAUCGCUGUCUUAAAGGGAUUGAUCUGCAAACCUUCAUCGAUAGGUUUGCGGGCAGACUUCCGGGAUGGAAAGGAAAACUGCUCAACAAGCCUGGCAGGGUGGCACUC
RNAcentral lists this ribosomal RNA (444 nucleotides) under Triticum aestivum (bread wheat). RNAcentral's name for it is "partial small subunit ribosomal RNA". The record is from RNAcentral. Lineage: Eukaryota; Viridiplantae; Streptophyta; Magnoliopsida; Poales; Poaceae.